This is a non-coding RNA of Oryza barthii, 207 nucleotides long. The record is from Rfam. NCBI's taxonomy places the organism in Eukaryota, Viridiplantae, Streptophyta, Magnoliopsida, Poales, Poaceae.
AAAAAGACAAACCCUGGGUUUCUAUGUCCAACGUUUGACUGUCCGUCUUAUAUAAAUUUUUUUUAUAAUUAGUAUUUUCAUUAUUGUUAGAUGAUAAAACAUGAUUAAUAUUUUAUGAGUGACUUAUCUUUUUAAUUUUUUUUAUAUUUUUUUCAGAUAAGACGGACGGUCAAACGUUGAACAUGGAAACCUAAGGUUUGACUUUUU